RNAcentral lists this ribosomal RNA (1049 nucleotides) under Bacillus pumilus. Its description in RNAcentral is "bacterial SSU rRNA". It matches the Rfam family "Bacterial small subunit ribosomal RNA", at positions 42 to 1074 of the family's 1533-position model. The record is from RNAcentral. Lineage: Bacteria; Bacillati; Bacillota; Bacilli; Caryophanales; Bacillaceae.
GCGGGUGCUAUACAUGCAGUCGAGCGGACAGAAGGGAGCUUGCUCCCGGAUGUUAGCGGCGGACGGGUGAGUAACACGUGGGUAACCUGCCUGUAAGACUGGGAUAACUCCGGGAAACCGGAGCUAAUACCGGAUAGUUCCUUGAACCGCAUGGUUCAAGGAUGAAAGACGGUUUCGGCUGUCACUUACAGAUGGACCCGCGGCGCAUUAGCUAGUUGGUGGGGUAAUGGCUCACCAAGGCGACGAUGCGUAGCCGACCUGAGAGGGUGAUCGGCCACACUGGGACUGAGACACGGCCCAGACUCCUACGGGAGGCAGCAGUAGGGAAUCUUCCGCAAUGGACGAAAGUCUGACGGAGCAACGCCGCGUGAGUGAUGAAGGUUUUCGGAUCGUAAAGCUCUGUUGUUAGGGAAGAACAAGUGCGAGAGUAACUGCUCGCACCUUGACGGUACCUAACCAGAAAGCCACGGCUAACUACGUGCCAGCAGCCGCGGUAAUACGUAGGUGGCAAGCGUUGUCCGGAAUUAUUGGGCGUAAAGGGCUCGCAGGCGGUUUCUUAAGUCUGAUGUGAAAGCCCCCGGCUCAACCGGGGAGGGUCAUUGGAAACUGGGAAACUUGAGUGCAGAAGAGGAGAGUGGAAUUCCACGUGUAGCGGUGAAAUGCGUAGAGAUGUGGAGGAACACCAGUGGCGAAGGCGACUCUCUGGUCUGUAACUGACGCUGAGGAGCGAAAGCGUGGGGAGCGAACAGGAUUAGAUACCCUGGUAGUCCACGCCGUAAACGAUGAGUGCUAAGUGUUAGGGGGUUUCCGCCCCUUAGUGCUGCAGCUAACGCAUUAAGCACUCCGCCUGGGGAGUACGGUCGCAAGACUGAAACUCAAAGGAAUUGACGGGGGCCCGCACAAGCGGUGGAGCAUGUGGUUUAAUUCGAAGCAACGCGAAGAACCUUACCAGGUCUUGACAUCCUCUGACAACCCUAGAGAUAGGGCUUUCCCUUCGGGGACAGAGUGACAGGUGGUGCAUGGUUGUCGUCAACUCCUGUCCUGAGAAG